RNAcentral lists this ribosomal RNA (741 nucleotides) under Escherichia coli. RNAcentral's name for it is "partial 23S ribosomal RNA". It matches the Rfam family "Bacterial large subunit ribosomal RNA", at positions 2190 to 2925 of the family's 2925-position model. Lineage: Bacteria; Pseudomonadati; Pseudomonadota; Gammaproteobacteria; Enterobacterales; Enterobacteriaceae. The record is from RNAcentral.
CCUUGAAAUACCACCCUUUAAUGUUUGAUGUUCUAACGUGGACCCGUAAUCCGGGUUGCGGACAGUGUCUGGUGGGUAGUUUGACUGGGGCGGUCUCCUCCUAAAGAGUAACGGAGGAGCACGAAGGUUGGCUAAUCCUGGUCGGACAUCAGGAGGUUAGUGCAAUGGCAUAAGCCAGCUUGACUGCGAGCGUGACGGCGCGAGCAGGUGCGAAAGCAGGUCAUAGUGAUCCGGUGGUUCUGAAUGGAAGGGCCAUCGCUCAACGGAUAAAAGGUACUCCGGGGAUAACAGGCUGAUACCGCCCAAGAGUUCAUAUCGACGGCGGUGUUUGGCACCUCGAUGUCGGCUCAUCACAUCCUGGGGCUGAAGUAGGUCCCAAGGGUAUGGCUGUUCGCCAUUUAAAGUGGUACGCGAGCUGGGUUUAGAACGUCGUGAGACAGUUCGGUCCCUAUCUGCCGUGGGCGCUGGAGAAUUGAGGGGGGCUGCUCCUAGUACGAGAGGACCGGAGUGGACGCAUCACUGGUGUUCGGGUUGUCAUGCCAAUGGCACUGCCCGGUAGCUAAAUGCGGAAGAGAUAAGUGCUGAAAGCAUCUAAGCACGAAACUUGCCCCGAGAUGAGUUCUCCCUGACUCCUUGAGAGUCCUGAAGGAACGUUGAAGACGACGACGUUGAUAGGCCGGGUGUGUAAGCGCAGCGAUGCGUUGAGCUAACCGGUACUAAUGAACCGUGAGGCUUAACCUU